RNAcentral lists this long non-coding RNA (1601 nucleotides) under Mytilus galloprovincialis (Mediterranean mussel). Lineage: Eukaryota; Metazoa; Mollusca; Bivalvia; Mytilida; Mytilidae. The record is from RNAcentral.
GUUCAAAACAUACCAGUUAGUUAGCUCAUAUUAAUACAGAAGGUAAGAAUAUUUCUAAUAGCGUUCCAAUAAUUUUAUUAUUUUACUAGACUUAAACAUUGCUUUAUACGGGAUUUUCUAAUCCCAGGCAUAGAUUACCUUAGCCGUAUUUGGCACAUUUUUUUGGAAUUUUGUAUCCUCAAUGCAUUUUAAAUUUGUACUUGUUUGGCUUUAUAAAUAUUUUGAUAUGAGCGUCAUUGAUGAUUCGUAUGUAGACGGCGUCUUGCGUACUAAAUUAUAAUCCUGGUACCUUUGAUAAAUAAUUAAUACGAAAUUACAUGAUCAAGGUUAAUAUUAGUAUUACCUCUUUUACUUAUUCAGUUUGCCAGAUACAUGUUUCCUCUAUUUAGGACUCAUCAGUAGACUAUAAUUGAAACAAUGGAAGGCAAAAUCAAGUUUAAAGUUGACCAUAUUAAAAUCCCAACCGAAAAGGUGAUGUCAAAGAGAUCGGAAAUGUCAGUCAAUAUCAUUUUCAUGUGUAUUGAUGAAAAUUCAAAAUUUAGAACUUUUUCUUCCAGGACUACUGCACAAUGAGAACCUGCCUCGCGUUUUGUAUCUUAUUGAUAUGUUUGGCGGGUAAGUUUAUGUCAUUCAUAUAAGGAAAUACCCGGUAUCUAAACAAAAACAAAAAAAAAAACUUUUAACGUGCCUCAAGUAACUCUACAUUGAAAAAAACUCAGCAUAUUUCAAAUAAUAUAUCUAGACAAAUAGGAGAUGUUGUAUGGUUGCCAACCAUAUAAGGAACGCGAAUCUAUUGAUAAAAAGUCAAUUUUAAAAAGCCUAUAUAACAAGUAAAUUAGUUCAAAAUAGACAACUACCAGUUUGAUGCAAACAUCAUGCAGCAAAAAACAAAAAUAUGGCAGAGUGGGACCAACAACAAGUAUUAACUAAACUAUGAAUAGCUGGUUAAGUACGGGUAUCUAUACAAAAUGUGUUGGGAAACACCAACCCACUCUUAACAUGGAACAGUUGUAUAUCAGCACAACGUAGGAAAUUCCUAUGAAAGGAUCAACGACUUAAAUUGCAGGGUUAGGCAUACCAAUAUUGUCGUACCAAUAUAGCACCCCCAACGCAAACACACACACACACACACAUUUAAAAUUUCCUUAAAUAUUUUUUAAAAAGUUACAAGGAUAAAUAAAAGAUCAGAAACAAUUUCAUUGAUUAUAUGUUUAUUGUUUUAAUAAAAAAAAGUAACAAUAUGUUUCAGGUUUGGAGAAUACUAAUGCUCUUAAGUGCUUUAGUAGUAAUUGUCGUACCCGUGCAGAUUGCAAAUAUGGAUGUCGUGCCCGUAAUUGUGGCAUUAAAUAUGACUGCAAUGUCCAUCGGCGGGAAUGCUGUUGUGAUGCUUGUAGUCCAAACUAAUAAACAGGAAUAAACAUAACAUCAAAUUGUUACCAUUACAGAAAAUGCGCAUAAACAUGGAUAUUAAACUCCUCCGAUCGACAUAAAGAACAAAAAUAUUCAACAGAACUCAGUUACAAAAAAAUCAUAGUACAAAGUUAAAAUAAACUAGCAUAAUCAAAUAUAUCUUAGACUUAUAUAUCAAUCAAUACACCAAC